This 31-nucleotide non-coding RNA is filed under the name Rattus norvegicus (Norway rat). Lineage: Eukaryota; Metazoa; Chordata; Mammalia; Rodentia; Muridae. The record is from RNAcentral.
AGGUCUUGUGUUUGAGAUGGGCUUUCUCCGU